RNAcentral lists this ribosomal RNA (293 nucleotides) under uncultured Alphaproteobacteria bacterium. RNAcentral's name for it is "partial 16S ribosomal RNA". The record is from RNAcentral. Lineage: Bacteria; Pseudomonadati; Pseudomonadota; Alphaproteobacteria.
GGACUACUGGGGUUUCUAAUCCUGUUUGCUCCCCACGCUUUCGCGCCUCAGCGUCAGUGCCGGUCCAGAUGGCCGCCUUCGCCACCGGUGUUCUUCCCAAUAUCUACGAAUUUCACCUCUACACUGGGAAUUCCGCCAUCCUCUCCCGGACUCACAGCGCGACAGUAUCAAGCGCAGUCCCCGGGUUGAGCCCGGGCCUUUCACGCCCAACUUAUCGCGCCGCCUACGCGCCCUUUACGCCCAGUAAUUCCGAACAACGCUAGCCCCCUCCGUAUUACCGCGGCUGCUGGCAC